This 460-nucleotide ribosomal RNA is filed under the name uncultured bacterium. RNAcentral's name for it is "partial 16S ribosomal RNA". It matches the Rfam family "Bacterial small subunit ribosomal RNA", at positions 338 to 795 of the family's 1533-position model. The record is from RNAcentral.
CCUACGGGAGGCAGCAGUGAGGAAUAUUGGUCAAUGGCCGGAAGGCUGAACCAGCUAUGCCGCGUGAAGGUCAGUGCCCUAUGGGCGUUAAACUUCUUUUGUGCGGGAGCAAUAAUGGUCACGUGUGGCCAGACGAGAGUACCGUACGAAAAAGCAUCGGCUAACCACGUGCCAGCAGCCGCGGUAAUCCGGGGGAUGCAAGCGUUAUCCGGAAUUAUUGGGUUUAAAGGGUGCGGAGGCUGUGAGGUAAGUCAGCGGUGAAAUUCCCCCGCUCAAAGGGGUGAAGUGCCAUUGAUACUGCCUAGCUGGAGAGCGGAUGCCGUAGGAGGAAUGUGUGGUGUAGCGGUGAAAUGCAUAGAUAUCACACAGAACACCGAUUGCGAAGGCAUCUCACGAAUCCGCGAUUGACGCUGAUGCACGAAAGCGUGGGUAUCAAACAGGAUUAGAUACCCCGGUAGUC